RNAcentral lists this ribosomal RNA (252 nucleotides) under uncultured bacterium. RNAcentral describes it as "partial 16S ribosomal RNA". It matches the Rfam family "Bacterial small subunit ribosomal RNA", at positions 524 to 776 of the family's 1533-position model. The record is from RNAcentral.
UACGAAGGGUGCAAGCGUUACUCGGAAUUACUGGGCGUAAAGCGUGCGUAGGUGGUGCGUUAAGUCUGUCGUGAAAGCCCCGGGCUCAACCUGGAAUGGCGAUGGAUACUGGCGCGCUAGAGUGCGGUAGAGGAGAGUGGAAUUCCCGGUGUAGCAGUGAAAUGCGUAGAGAUCGGGAGGAACAUCAGUUGCGAAGGCGGCUCUCUGGACCAGCACUGACACUGAGGCACGAAAGCGUGGGGAGCAAACAGG